RNAcentral lists this long non-coding RNA (6177 nucleotides) under Homo sapiens (human). Its description in RNAcentral is "LHRI_LNC1485.1". The record is from RNAcentral. Lineage: Eukaryota; Metazoa; Chordata; Mammalia; Primates; Hominidae.
GCCAACUAAGCCCAUACGAUCGUAGUAACUUUGUACCCAGUCCUAGCUUUUCAAACAUAAUGAUAAUAUGUUCUUUCUAAUGUGGCCCAUACUGUUCUAAUGAACUUAUGCUGAGUUUUUCUGAGUACUAGAAUAAUAUUCGCCAUAAAUAAUAGAUAUAAUUAUUCUCAUUUAAUAUUUGCGUAGCUCUUCUUUAAAGCAGAAAGUAUUUUCUCAUUCCUUACUAGAACCUUUCUGUGUGAGGAGCACUGAGCUAGAACCCAUAUCUUAGAAUGGUCAGAAUUUGGAGAAAUUCAGGGAAAAGGCACUGGACUCAUUUUUAAAGACUAGAAAAUGCAACCUCCAGAAAAAGAUUCAAGAGUUUUUUACUCCCAGAGAUGUAGGAAAGAUUGGAGUAAAUCUUAAUAUUAUAUUUCAGGUAAACAAAGGAUCACUGUCAAAAUAGCAGCAUUUAUUGAGUAAUGGCUGUGUGCCAGGUACUUUACAGUUUCACAUUUAACCCUCAUAAUAACCUUGUAAAGUGGAUAUCCCCUCAGUACAUGAUGAGAACACUGAAGCUUAGGUUAAAUGAUUGUCCAAAUCGGACAAUCAUUUUCAAAAUCUCCCCCUUUUUUUCUCCUUUCUUAUCUGCAAGGCAGAUUGCCCUUUCCCUUUCAGUGAAACUUGUGCAUGACCACAUGACUCUCUUUGGCCAAUGAAACAUGAACAAGCAGCGUUUAUCACUUUCAGAUGGAAGGCUUUGCAUGAGCUUUGCCUCCUUUUCACUCUGCCACAGUGGCCACUAACAUUCCAGAUAGUGGCGCUCUGCAGGCUAGGUCCUAUAGUGGGAGCUAUGGGCAGAGCCCCCUUUCCCACCCCCAUCAAGAUGUGCAUGCUGCAUAAGCCAUGCAUUAAUCUUUGCAGUUUUAAGCCACUAAGUUUUGGAGUUAUAUUAAUCAUUAAUCAUGGUUCUCAAGAGAAACAGAGUGGGGGAGUGGUAUUCAUUAUGGGAAUUGGCUUACAUGAUUAUGGAAGCUGAGUAGUCCCCCAGUCUGCUGUUUUUGAGCUGGAGAACUAGAGGAGCCAGUGGUAUAAUUCAGCCCAAGCCUGAAGGCCUGAGAAAUGGGAUGGGGGAAUUGGGAGGGUGGGUGUGCUAGGGUAGGAUAAGUCCUGAAGUUCAAAGGCCAGCCAGAAGGUGGAUGUUUCAGCACCAGAAGAGAGAGCAAAUUCGCUUUUCUUCUGCCUUUUUGUCCUCUCUGGGCCCUCAAUGGAUUGGAUGAUGCCCUCCCACAUUGGUAAGGGUGGAUCUUCUAUACUCAGUCUGCUAAUUUCUUCCAGAAACAUCUUCACAGACACAUCCAGAAAUAAUGUUUUACCAGCUAUCUCGGUAUCCCUUAGCCUAGUCCAUAUUUAAAAAUUAAUGAUCACAAGCAGUUGUUUGUUUCCACAGCAAAACCUGGGUGACAGACCAAGUGACCCAGAUGACUAGAAUUUGACCUUCUUUUGUUGCCCACACCAUACUCUGAACUAACAUGCUGUGCUGCCUUCCAAGUGGAGAAUGAUGGCUAAGUAUCUUCUACCUAAUUUGAGUCACAGAAAAAAAAAAAAAAGGUUAUUAACUGCAGUGACAAGAAUUGUGAUUCCCCAGGGGGCAGAUCAAGACUGAUAGAUAAGAGAAGUGAGGAACAUCUGGGGAAUGUCCAUUGAAAAUUUACUCAGAAGAGAAGAAUAAUUAAUAUAAUAAUAUGAUAUAUUGAAUUAUAAUAAAUAAUAUUUUGAUGUAUUUCCUUCCAGGCAUGUUUAAGUUAUAGACUUUGAGUAUAUUUUCUCAAAGGGGGUUCUAUGUAAGAGACUAUUUCUUAAUAUAGUUCCUAGCUUGGAAUUGCUCUUGCUGGUUUAAGCUGAGCUUAUUUUAUUACAGACUUCACAACAAUAACGUUUUCCUUCACUAGUCAGUACACAAGAUGGUCUUCAUUUCCAGUUUGGAAUCCCACACUAUCAGAGCCUGAGACAAGGACUAGUAUGCAGUUAGUUUGUUUGGGAGGUGAUUCCAGGAAGUGGGAAUGAGAGAUCAGUCAGCCUGCAACACGAAGGAGGAAAAGUCAAUAUAAGGAUGAAUUUGGCAAUUGGCCGUUUCAUGCAACUGGGGCUAAAUUUUGCUUGGCUCUCUAAGAAAUGUAAAGAAUGCCUCCCGUAAUUGCUCACCUCAAGUAUUUAUUCAUUGGCUCUCAUGCUCCAUUGGUUGUCCAUGAGAACUUUAGCCCUCCCUCGCUGCAGCACAGACACUGUGCUUUCUCCUAGGCUGAGCAAGCUCCUGCAUCUGUGGAAACCGUCCCGGGGCAGAUAGUGAAAUAAUGACUGCUGCGUGCUUGAGAUCUGGGAAAGAGGCCACAUCAUAAGUGCACUGAAAUCAGAGAUGUGUCAAGAGAUGUGACACAGGGCAUCUGAGGUGUCUACUGCACCAGCUAUAACUCCCUAAACGCUAAUCUCAGUUCUUACAGAGGGGAUGGAUGCAAGGGAACAGUCAUGAUUGAGAGCACCGAAGAAGCUCUGUAUGAACCUUAGGCAAGUUUCCUAAUCUCCAAAAUGAAGGUAAUAAUACCCACCAUCCAAGAUCUUCGGGAGGAAUAGAUGAACUAAUGUAUGUGAAAAUGUCCAGCACAGGUCCUAACCCAUAGUAGGUGCUCACCAAAUGUUAGUUCCCUGCCCUCCACGUUGUGUGUAUCCGGAGCUGCACUAGAUGCUGAGGCAAAUGGUCUCAAAUGUACUUUAACACUUAAUGACUGAGAUUUUUUCUGAGCUGCCUACAGGUUAUUGACUAUAUUCAUUAUUAAUAAUAAUAUAUAUGGCCACUUCAGGCAACUGGGGCUAAAUUUUGCUUGGCUCUCUAAGAAAUGUAAAGAAUGCCUCCUGUAAUUGCUCACCUCAAGUAUUUAUUCAUUGGCUCUCGUGCUUUAUUGGUUGUCCCUGAGGACUUUAGCCCUCUCUCACUGCAGCACAGACACUGUGCUUUCUCCUAGUUUCUGUGGCAAGUGACAGGAGCCCACCUCAAACUAAAGCAAAAGGGACUUCAUUGGCUCUUGUAGCUAGGAAUUCCAGGGUUGGCACUGGCUUUGGGCACUACUGGAUGCAGGAAUUCAAACAAUGUCUUCAACUCUUUCUUUUGGUGUUUCUCUCAGCUGUGCUUCUCUUGUCGUUUCUUUUUCCCAUUUUACAGAUAAGUUCAUCCGUAACUGAGAGAGGUGAAAAGGGGAUGGCUGCAGAGAACUCUGGCUUAUAUCAUCCUUGCUUGCUGACCUCAAGGUCCAUGUAUAAAUUCUCAGAGAAGAAGCCCUCUGGUUGGUGAUGCUUGGAACAUGCCCUGGAGGGUGGGCCCCUUGAAGUGGAGCUUGCUGGAACCACAUGGGCUGGAGCAAGGCGCUAGGGCCAGAAGAGAGAGGUAGGCAGGGCUGCUGGCCAGGCACUCUUCACCAAGACAAGGCAAGAGGAGGGGCAUGAUUGAGGCAGUGAUACAGAAAGCAGACAGUAGAGGUCGUGGCAAGUGUGCCGUUACUUGCUACCUGUGGUUGAUGGGAGAGUCACACCACAUUUAGGAGGAGAGAAUCCAUUUGCCACUUCUGACAAUGCCACAAGAAUCACAUAUUUCAUCCAGAGGUUGAAUUUGGCCCAUGCUGAGCUUUAAAAUACAGAGCUGUCUUGGAACAAUGGCUCAGUACAUUCAUUUGGUGUCCAACAAAGCCUGCCUCUGUUGCCUUCCCUCUCUCUGUGUGCCCUUCAAGAUCUUCAUUGUGCUUUGGGGAGAGAAAGAGAAAAUGUCAUAUCAGGGUAGCUCACCCCAUGUGUCCUGGACUCAGGAAAAGAGUAUCUUAUCACCUUACUCUUUUGUUAUUAUAAAAAAUAAAGUUGAACGUCUUCAAAUAAAAUAAAGAAGUAUAGAAAAAAUUUUAAAUUAACCUGUUAUGAUUCUACCUAGAGAACCAUUGUCAACAUCUUGGUAUAUGUACUUCCAGAUACUUUCCUAUGAAUAUAUACAUUGUAGAUUUUUUAAUAUUAAAAGGCUAUCAUGCUGCUUUGUAUACAGGCUUUCUUUACUGAUAUGUAAUAUAAUACACAGACAAAUAUACAAAUCCUAAGCCAUCAACUCAUUGAAUUUUUAUUCAUUGUUUUUAAUACCUGCAUUGUGUUCCAUUGUUAGGCUAUGUCACAACAUAUUUAAUUAAGCCCCUAUUGAUGAAUAUUAAUUUACUCUAUUUGCCAGUUCAUUCCAGUCCAACAUUUAUUGAGUGUCUACUUACGGGCCAGGCACUCUUGUAUUCAUCAAGAUCACCACAUUAUCUGUAUCAGUUAUUUAUUGCCACAAUAAAACUGCAUAACAAAUCACUCCAAAAUGUAGCACCUUAAAACUACAACUACUUAUUAUUUCUCAAGAGUCAAUGGGUCAGCUGAGCAGUUCUGCCGAUAGGGGUCAAGGUCAACACAUUUCAACUAGACUACUUGUAAAAAAGAAUGAGUGUCUGGGUAGGUGUGUUCUUCUAAAAAUAAAACAAGGAAUGAGGAAAUUGCAGGUAGGAUAAGAGGGGUGGUUGGCAACCAAACCCCACAAAAGGCAGACAAAUUUUAAGGAAACAUAAUGCCAGACUCCUAUGUCAUCAUCCAAGUAGAUGCAGUGAAGUAUAACCUGGGGCGUAGUAGGGUAGGAGUGGGGAGAGCAGAGGAGAAGGAAGGGAGAUUGCUUUUCAUCACUUUUGGAUUCCCUAAUAACAGACAUGACUGCCAGUAUUAAAAUUUAACAAAGGAUAUCUGAUCAUUAAUUUUCCUGUAUAAGUCACUGGUGAUCUUCAACAUCUCUCCCUCCCUUCCUCCCUUCCUUCCUCCCACCCUCCCUUCCUUCCUUCUUUCCUCUUUUGCUUUCAACUUCCUUUUCUCGUUUCCUUUUGCUUUCUUUCUCUUCUCCCUUUUUUCUGUCACUCUGGGCGUAUGUAGUAGUGUAAAAAGGUUGACAGAGAAAUCAAAUAUAACAGGAGCAGGGCCCUGAGAAAAGCACCUGGCAUCCUGUAGGCAAACCAUUGUUUCUAAAAGAAGGGACUGAGAGAUUGAGGAGCUCAGGACAUUGCCAAAUGAACAAGGCAAGCACAUUUAUUCAGUACCAAACAAACGGAAAACGGCCUUUCCAAAUAACUGACCUAUAAAACAGCCUUUUCACAAGAGUACCGUAAUUACUGGCCAACAGCAACAAUGAAAAACAACUCCCAAACAAAGAAAUAUUUCUGGAUUAAAAGCCAUGAGAUCUGGAUUCUAACAAGCUGUGCUCCUCAAACUACAAGUACAAAAUCUGGCUCUAAACUAACAAGCUAUGAGCCUCAAACUGAUGACUGGCAUGUUUGGGUCUCCAUCUCCUUCUUGGGGGUUGGGGUCUUAGAGACCCUUUUCCACGCCCUGAUUCUCUUACUAGUGUGUAUGCUUUCCUUUUGACUUCUCAUGCUGACCGUCUGAGCAGGAGUGAGAAGCAAUUUCAAAGGAAAACAUCGUUUAUCAUCUGCUGAAAGAAACCAAAAAGAACACAGGAAAACAAAAAGACAAGGAAAGGGAAUGAAAAUGUAAUUCAUUUUAUUAAAAAGAAGAAUUAUUCUUCUGGGACACUGGAUAGAAACCUUAAUGAGUUACCUAGCUAUCAUAAAUCCUCUAACAGAGAAGAGAAGAGAAAGAAACAAAGACGGAAGAGGGCAGGAUAAAAGAAAGAAAAAAGGAAGGGAAAAAUGAAGGAAGGAAGUUAUCUAUUCAUUUCUACAGAGACUCUGCUGAGCAGUAGACAAGAAGACUUGGGAAAAAUUUAACUGAAACUUUUCCAAAAAUCUUUUCAGAGGGAUUUUUUCCCUCUGAAAAGCAUCAUUAGAGGCUGUUCAAUACCCAAGGCAAGCCUCUUUCAUAUUACUUACUGUACAUGAAACACUCAUGCAAUUGAGGCUAGCCAGAGGCCAUUUAGAAAUUCAAUAAUUAUUCAACCCAAGGGGCUUUCCAAAUGGUGAAGUAGCUUCUUAAGAGGAAAUUAAUAUUGAGCAGUAUAGCAAACCUAAUUGGAAUCUUGAGAAAAUAGUUCUGUGUCGUUAGAACAGCUAGAGGCUAAAGAAGAUCAGGUUGGAUGAUACCUUCAUUUUUGUCUCUUUCCUUAAUUAUGAUGUAAAGGGAAAAAUCUUGUUU